GCCAACGUAGCUCAGUCGGCUAGAGCGGCUGACUUGUAAUCAGCAGGUUGAGGGUUCAAGUCCCUCCGUUGGCUCCA
This 77-nucleotide transfer RNA is filed under the name Fervidobacterium sp. Its description in RNAcentral is "tRNA-Thr". It matches the Rfam family "tRNA". Rfam says of the family: Transfer RNA (tRNA) molecules are approximately 80 nucleotides in length. Their secondary structure includes four short double-helical elements and three loops (D, anti-codon, and T loops). The record is from RNAcentral. Lineage: Bacteria; Thermotogati; Thermotogota; Thermotogae; Thermotogales; Fervidobacteriaceae.